CUGAGUGAUGACUGCUGACC
RNAcentral lists this microRNA (20 nucleotides) under Bos taurus (domestic cattle). RNAcentral's name for it is "bta-miR-2383". Lineage: Eukaryota; Metazoa; Chordata; Mammalia; Artiodactyla; Bovidae. The record is from miRBase by way of RNAcentral.